CCUACGGGUCGCAGCAGUGGGGAAUAUUGCACAAUGGGCGCAAGCCUGAUGCAGCCGUGCCGCGUGUAUGAAGAAGGCCUUCGGGUUGUAAAGAACUUUCAGCGGGGAGGAAGGUGUUGUGGUUAAUAACCACAGCAAUCGACGUUACCCGCAGAAGAAGCACCGGCUAACUCCGUGCCAGCAGCUACGGUAAUACGGAGGGUGCAAGCGUUAAUCGGAAUUACUGGGCGUAAAGCGCACGCAGGCGGUCUGUCAAGUCGGAUGUGAAAUCCCCGGGCUCAACCUGGGAACUGCAUUCGAAACUGGCAGGCUAGAGUCUUGUAGAGGGGGGUAGAAUUCCAGGUGUAGCGGUGAAAUGCGUAGAGAUCUGGAGGAAUACCGGUGGCGAAGGCGGCCCCCUGGACAAAGACUGACGCUCAGGCGCGAAAGCGUGGGGAGCAAACAGGAUUAGAUACCCUGGUAGUC
This 465-nucleotide ribosomal RNA is filed under the name uncultured bacterium. Its description in RNAcentral is "bacterial SSU rRNA". It matches the Rfam family "Bacterial small subunit ribosomal RNA", at positions 338 to 795 of the family's 1533-position model. The record is from RNAcentral.